This 3748-nucleotide long non-coding RNA is filed under the name Xyrichtys novacula (pearly razorfish). The record is from RNAcentral. Lineage: Eukaryota; Metazoa; Chordata; Actinopteri; Labriformes; Labridae.
GGGCCAAUCAGAUUUCGUGGGUACCCAUCUGGAUGUUCAGAGCAUGAUUCAAAAUUAAGAAAACAUUACUCUGUAAGGAUUGAGGCAGUUUCUUUGUCUUAUUUUAUAUGAAAUAUAUUUGUUUAAAACUCAGUAAUCAUUAUGGCACUGCACUUUUAGAAGACCAGACAUCUUAACAAGCAUUUGCAUUUAAGAUGUUCUCGGGGAGGAUGAUUUACAAAGCCCUUUAAAUGAGAAUUGUGUGACUGGUUUACUAUAAACUUCAAUUAAUGGUCUGUAAGAGGACAAGACUAUCAUCAUUUCCCUUUGAGGCAGCAACAAGAGUUGUUCAUCUUUAUCUACAACAACCAACUGCUAUUUUAACAUUCAUCUUUGUCAGUAAAAAGGUACAUUUUCUCAGACAACAGUCUCAAAGUGCUUUAUUUUAAGGCUCUUGUUGACAAAUCUGAGUCACAGCAGCAUUUUUGGAAGAAAUCAGAGAGAACUUCUGAGGUUUGUGGGAUGAACAACAGUAUAGUGUACAGUACAGUAUACUGAGUUGGACCUGAGUGAUCAGGCUGGUUGGUAUGGAUGUGUGAGUUUGGUCAGGUGUUCUGGGACCUGGCUAUUCACAGCUCUGAAAGUGAUGGUGAGAAUUUCAAACUUCUGUAUUGACUGUAGAGGAGCAAAGAGAGUUGUGAAGCAGUGGAUGAAAAAAGAGACUUUCUGGCAAAACUGACCUCUUUGGAUCUGUUAGUUUCCCCCAAAAGGCUAAAAUCCUUAUUAUGUCCCUCAUUAAAAAACUAACAAACAUUCACACAUUUGUUUUUACUGAUUAGUGCAGAAUUAAUUGUUGUUUUUUUGGGUUACUUUACACAGAAAAUCUGCGGUUCUAUUCAAAGGGGUUGGUUUCUGCCAAAAAGUGGUCUCCGAAGUUUGAAAAAGCAGGAUAAUAAGGCUAAUAAGGGACUCGUGGGUUUGAUGUCUUUUUUUAUUGAAGAGUGGACUUCUGAUGCUUCCCUUAGAUUUGUUGGCAGUAGCGGUAUGACCACCAAACAGACAUUUUUUUUUUGCCAAGAACGAAACUGUGCACAUGAUCUCAAAUGGGGAACAGCUCACAGAUUGCAGCCCUGAUGCUCCUGCCAGGGUUUCUGAUCACUUUCACUCACUCACUGGGAAAUUCUGCUGUUGCUGACUAGGCUGCUAAAUCCAUGGCAGCAGGGAGUGAAUGAAGAAGGAAAAUCCUCAUACUGAUACCCCCAUAAACUUUUACAUAAACCACAUAAGAAAGAAAAUACAGCAGAUAUGAUAGACUAAAAAAUCAACGAGUAGUUCCUGCCUUAACCUCGCAUUUCUCAUGAGUUGGAUUUGAAACAGGUAGCUUCAGUUUUACCCAAAGGUGACAUUCAAACUGGGUUUUGAACUGAACAACUUUGCUCUCAGUCAAACUAUUAAAUACCUGCCCUACAAUGCUCGCUGGUUUAGUUAUUCUUGUUUACCUGGGUUGAAAUUUAACUUCUCUUCAGCUUUUUCAAGUUGAAAAAAAUAUCAUUUGGACAGCAUUUUACUAUAACUUUACUAUAACAGUGCAAUUUAGAUUAAUUUAAUCUGACAACACCACAACAUUACAAUCUGAGAGACGAUGUUGAUUUUUUCAUCACAAACCAAUUUUUAAAAAUAUAACUUGUAUAUAUCUGCAUUUCUUGAGCAUUUUUUAAAUCUUUUUUUGUUUUCCAAAAUACAUUUUUUUUUUUUUUAAGAAAUUGUUUUGUUUUCAAAAAUAUAUUUAGGCUUCAUGAGAAACAUUUAUUGAGUUCUGCUAAAUGUUUUCAGGUUUUAAUUAAAGAACUAUAUUUUUUUUGUUUCAUGAAAUAUUUAUUUAUUGUCUUGCUGAAAUAUUUGCACCAUUGACCCUCAGGGCCACCAUAUUUUGGGGAUGUGCUGGGGACUCUUUCUUAACUUUACAGGUCAGUGUUUUGGUCAAAAGCCAUUUUUUAUAAUCUGUUAUUUUGAAUACUGACAGCUGUUAACUGAGUGACAACAACUUUGUAGAAUGGCAACAGUGGAUGAGGAUUCUAUGGAGCUUUAACGUGCCUUGAAGGGACAAAUGCUGAAAGGAAGCAUUUCAGAUAGAGGCUAGAAUGAGGCCAAAGACAGCAAUAGGUUGAAAAUAAAGGAUCUCUGAAUCAUGUCAAGUUAAUAGCAAGCUAACCUUAAGGAAAGUCUAUCCUGGGCAUUAUUUGCUAAAUGAAACUCUUUAAUAUUGUUUCUCACCAGGUGAAGUGUAUAAAAAGUAUCUUGAAAAGCGUGUGUUUUCUUGUGGUUAUGAUGUUAAACAGACGACUUGUGCCUCUCAAAACAGUAAAGAGGAAAUGAAAACUGUUCUAAAUAGAAACUUUGAUCAAGUCACAAUUUUUAGAUCUAAACAAGACAAAUUCAGAACUUUACCAGUGAUGUCAAAGUUACAUUAGCUGGAAUUUGUCAACGCAGUUGUCCUCAGAAAUCUCAUUAGUAUCAAAUAAUAAACAUGUAAUUUACAAAAGGAAGUGAAUACAAUCAAGUGGAGGAAGCCCCUCCAAAAACUUUAUUUAUAUAUUGAAAAAUCCUGUCUGCAUGUUCAAAGAAGCAUGGUUCAUGAUCAUAUAUAAUGAUGAUUGGGGAAGUAAUUAUUGCAUCAGUUUUCUUUUGUUCCUCCUCUGUUCUAAACUUUCUAAUUCUAUUCACCUAAAAGUUUUAGUUAGUUAUUGAAAUGAUUGUGAAUCCUUAAUUUGAUGUGUUUUCAAAUGUGACCACCACACAGUUACUAAAAAAACAAUCUGCAUUUAAAACACAUUAGGCUCAUGCACAGCCUCUCAAUGAAACCACUUCAGCCUUAAUCUGAUGACAUAUCUGACAGCUCACCCUCCCUCCUCCCUGUAAGUCAUACACUGAUAACAAUGGCCUGGACAAAAAAAAAUCCUCUGAUGGUGAGUGCUUAUUGGAGCCCGUCUAGUGUAGUCUGCAAUAUGGAAUGGGACAAAAGGAGGGCAUUUUAAUGGUUUAAAAGGCCGGCCCUGAGAGGACACAUGGGGGAGGGGAAUGGGACUCUCCUUUAGCUGGUCAGCCUCUCUAUUACUACAAUUACAGCCCAGUGCUUUACAUACCUGUUUUUUGCACUGUGUUUUACUCCCCCAGCCCCCUCUACAGCUAAUCAAUGUCUGUGCACCCUGCCGCCCGAAUAUUAUGGACUGCAGUGGUGCUAAAACACUUCAUAACUCAGCUCAGGCCUAGGGGAAUAGCAUGACGGGUGUGGCAAGAAGACACAUGAAGAAAAAAAUGUUGGUUUCAGCGAGCGCUGCCUCAUUAUCAUAUUUUUUCUGUAACAUUACCCAUUCCCUAAGGAAAUCUAAAUGUGCACAAAUAUAGCUUGAUGCUUUUUUGCUGUCAUGCAUGAAGACAGAGAGGCUUGACUGCAGCAGAUGCAUUAUUAAAGCCUUAUUGUGUUGCCAUUCUUUACAUGGGCUAUACUGUUAUGGAUCAUUUCUGUUUGACCCUGUUUGGUGCGUCUGUGGCCUGAUAGAUUGUCCUUAAAAUUGAGGAUGGGGGUGUAAAAGAAUAGACCUAGAGGCUGAGCAAAAAAAAGGUAAAAGAUGCAGGGUGGGAAGGUGGAUAAAAACGCAGUAGGAUCAAGGUCAGAGCAGGUUUGACAGACCAUGUGUCUGCAGGGUGUCGUCCACAACUGCUCUGGCCUCUUGACCCACCAGGGAAUGGAUGAGGCUGCUCUCCUUUU